AAGUCGUAACAAGGUUUCCGUAGGUGAACCUGCGGACGGAUCAUUAACCCGUAUCCAACGUUAAACACCCCUGUGAACCUUGAACGUGCUCUCGCACACGCUCUAGCAGCAAUCCCUGGUAAAUCAUUGUUGACCAGCUAUUGAGUCAGGGACCUCUGCUUUAAAACGAUGCGAUACGAGCGCCAGAGUAAGUGUGGCCUGGCAUCCUAGCAAUCUGUCAGUGGUUGCGCAAGGAUGGCGCAGUAAACGAUCGCUGUAGGCCCACACGGCCGGCGACCGGGCCUCUGUGCUUCGGCACCUAACGACCCCAUGUUUCGUACCCGGUGCGCUGUAACAACCGCACCAUAAACUCGAACAACUGUUAACAAUGGAUAUCUUGGUUCUC
RNAcentral lists this unclassified non-coding RNA (385 nucleotides) under fungal sp. Its description in RNAcentral is "partial internal transcribed spacer region". The stretch from base 1 to 46 matches the Rfam family "Eukaryotic small subunit ribosomal RNA", at positions 1786 to 1831 of the family's 1831-position model. The record is from RNAcentral. Lineage: Eukaryota; Fungi.